AGAGGCAGGAAGCGAAACGGGGAGGGAGGGGGGAUAUGGCAAAUCCCACCCCAGCCCCUCCUGGCCUGGCACCCCUCCCAAACGGUGCACGGAAGAGUGAGGUGACUGGCAUGUGUGGGGACAACACGAUUCUCCUCCCUGGGGAGCAGAGCAGAGGCAACCCAUCCCCCACUCCCACCCCCACACUCCCCUAAGUUCCAAUCCAUUUCCACCUCUGUUUACUGUCCAAAGUCCCGGGCACUGGAGAUGCCACGUUUGGCGUGCUUGGACACAUAGACACGCAGACACAGAGACACCGGGGCCCAGGGCCCUCCUAUGGACCCUGCCCGCUCCCCUCCCAUUGUCCACGGCUGUCCACCCACCCCCAUUCUCCAAGCUUCAGCCCCCCUCCUUAGUUCGGCACCUGCAAAGCACUGAAGAACCUGGGAGUCAGACCCUGCGACCCUGAGCAAUCCCAGGUCCAGCGCCAGCCCUAUCAUGACCAAGGAGUAUCAAGACCUUCAGCAUCUGGACAAUGAGGAGAGUGACCACCAUCAGCUCAGAAAAGGGCCACCUCCUCCCCAGCCCCUCCUGCAGCGUCUCUGCUCCGGACCUCGCCUCCUCCUGCUCUCCCUGGGCCUCAGCCUCCUGCUGCUUGUGGUUGUCUGUGUGAUCGGAUCCCAAAACUCCCAGCUGCAGGAGGAGCUGCGGGGCCUGAGAGAGACGUUCAGCAACUUCACAGCGAGCACGGAGGCCCAGGUCAAGGGCUUGAGCACCCAGGGAGGCAAUGUGGGAAGAAAGAUGAAGUCGCUAGAGUCCCAGCUGGAGAAACAGCAGAAGGACCUGAGUGAAGAUCACUCCAGCCUGCUGCUCCACGUGAAGCAGUUCGUGUCUGACCUGCGGAGCCUGAGCUGUCAGAUGGCGGCGCUCCAGGGCAACGGCUCAGAAAGGGCCUGCUGCCCGGUCAACUGGGUGGAGCACGAGCGCAGCUGCUACUGGUUCUCUCGCUCCGGGAAGGCCUGGGCUGACGCCGACAACUACUGCCGGCUGGAGGACGCGCACCUGGUGGUGGUCACGUCCUGGGAGGAGCAGAAAUUUGUCCAGCACCACAUAGGCCCUGUGAACACCUGGAUGGGCCUCCACGACCAAAACGGGCCCUGGAAGUGGGUGGACGGGACGGACUACGAGACGGGCUUCAAGAACUGGAGGCCGGAGCAGCCGGACGACUGGUACGGCCACGGGCUCGGAGGAGGCGAGGACUGUGCCCACUUCACCGACGACGGCCGCUGGAACGACGACGUCUGCCAGAGGCCUUACCGCUGGGUCUGCGAGACAGAGCUGGACAAGGCCAGCCAGGAGCCACCUCUCCUUUAAUUUAUUUCUUCAAUGCCUCGACCUGCCGCAGGGGUCCGGGAUUGGGAAUCCGCCCAUCUGGGGACCUCUUCUGCUUUCUCGGGAAUUUUCAUCUAGGAUUUUAAGGGAAGGGGAAGGAUAGGGUGAUGUUCCGAAGCAAACAGAAGCAGCGUUCAUAGACAGGUAGCAGAUACAACGAACACACAACCAAAAUCACCAAACAUACUAGGAAAACCAGUACUGCGGAACAGAAGCAACAAAGCGGAUAGAAUCAACAACCAAGGAUGGGAGUUAGGACAAACCGAUUCAGACACGGAACUGUGAACAAAAAUUGCCAAAGUAUUCACCCAUAAACAAGACCUCAAGUGAUUCCUAAAAGGAGCAAUGCUCUGACCACAGUAAAAUAAAGUUAGAAAUGAACGUGAAAGUACAGCC
RNA transcript from Gorilla gorilla gorilla (western lowland gorilla), 1767 nucleotides. It is a transcript of the gene named asialoglycoprotein receptor 1, with no coding region annotated. The transcript has 10 exons. NCBI's taxonomy places the organism in Eukaryota, Metazoa, Chordata, Mammalia, Primates, Hominidae. The record is from RefSeq and is a predicted model, not a curated record.